RNAcentral lists this ribosomal RNA (237 nucleotides) under uncultured bacterium. RNAcentral's name for it is "partial 16S ribosomal RNA". It matches the Rfam family "Bacterial small subunit ribosomal RNA", at positions 118 to 347 of the family's 1533-position model. The record is from RNAcentral.
UGAGGAACAUGACCUUCGGCGGGGGAUAGCCGGCCCAACGGCCGGGUAAUACCGCGUACGACCACAUGGGGACAUCCCUGAGUGGUGAAAGCAGCAAUGCGCCGAUGGAGUGCCUCGCGGCCUAUCAGCUAGUUGGUGAGGUAACGGCUCACCAAGGCGACGACGGGUAGCUGGUCUGAGAGGAUGGCCAGCCACAUUGGGACUGAGACACCGGCCCAGACCUUCGUACCGGGGAGG